RNAcentral lists this ribosomal RNA (492 nucleotides) under uncultured bacterium. Its description in RNAcentral is "partial 16S ribosomal RNA". It matches the Rfam family "Bacterial small subunit ribosomal RNA", at positions 29 to 507 of the family's 1533-position model. The record is from RNAcentral.
AGUGAACGCUGGCGGUAGGCCUAACACAUGCAAGUCGAACGGCAGCACAGUAAGAGCUUGCUCUUACGGGUGGCGAGUGGCGGACGGGUGAGGAAUACAUCGGACUCUACUUUUUCGUGGGGGAUCACGUAGGGAAACUUACGCUAAUACCGCAUACGCCCUACGGGUGAAAGCAGGGGAUCUUCGGACCUUGCGCGAUUGAAUGAGCCGAUGUCGGAUUAGCUAGUUGGCGGGGUAAAGGCCCACCAAGGCGACGAUCCGUAGCUGGUCUGAGAGGAUGAUCAGCCACACUGGAACUGAGACACGGUCCAGACUCCUACGGGAGGCAGCAGUGGGGAAUAUUGGACAAUGGGCGCAAGCCUGAUCCAGCCAUACCGCGUGGGUGAAGAAGGCCUUCGGGUUGUAAAGCCCUUUUGUUGGGAAAGAAAAGCAGCAGGUUAAUACCCCGCUGUUCUGACGGUACCCAAAGAAUAAGCACCGGCUAACUUCGUG